UACGAAGGGGGCUAGCGUUGUUCGGAAUUACUGGGCGUAAAGCGUGCGCAGGCGGUUCUCCAAGUCAGUGGUGAGAGCCCGGAGCUCAACUCCGGAACUGCCAUUGAAACUGUAGAGCUAGAGUACGAGAGAGGUGAGUGGAAUUCCCAGUGUAGAGGUGAAAUUCGUAGAUAUUGGGAAGAACACCGGUGGCGAAGGCGGCUCACUGGCUCGUAACUGACGCUGAGGCGCGAAAGCGUGGGGAGCAAACGGG
This 253-nucleotide ribosomal RNA is filed under the name uncultured bacterium. RNAcentral describes it as "partial 16S ribosomal RNA". It matches the Rfam family "Bacterial small subunit ribosomal RNA", at positions 524 to 776 of the family's 1533-position model. The record is from RNAcentral.